Molecule: non-coding RNA, 46 nt
Filed under: Trichobilharzia regenti
Lineage: Eukaryota; Metazoa; Platyhelminthes; Trematoda; Strigeidida; Schistosomatidae
Source: RNAcentral
GUACUGAUGAAGAGUCCCAAACUAGGACGAAACAGUUGUCCAUUAC